GACGAAGGGGGCUAGCGUUGUUCGGAAUUACUGGGCGUAAAGCGCGUGUAGGCGGCUGCCAAAGUCGGGUGUGAAAGCCUUGAGCUCAACUCAAGAAUGGCACUCGAUACUUGGUGGCUAGAGGACCGGAGAGGAUAGUGGAAUUCCCAGUGUAGUGGUGAAAUACGUAGAGAUUGGGAAGAACACCAGUGGCGAAGGCGGCUAUCUGGACGGUUUCUGACGCUAAGACGCGAAAGCGUGGGGAGCAAACAGG
This 253-nucleotide ribosomal RNA is filed under the name uncultured bacterium. RNAcentral describes it as "partial 16S ribosomal RNA". It matches the Rfam family "Bacterial small subunit ribosomal RNA", at positions 524 to 776 of the family's 1533-position model. The record is from RNAcentral.